This 589-nucleotide ribosomal RNA is filed under the name uncultured bacterium. Its description in RNAcentral is "partial 16S ribosomal RNA". It matches the Rfam family "Bacterial small subunit ribosomal RNA", at positions 355 to 1376 of the family's 1533-position model. The record is from RNAcentral.
UGGGGAAUCUUCCGCAAUGGACGAAAGUCUGACGGAGCAACGCCGCGUGAGUGAAGAAGGUUUUCGGAUCGUAAAACUCUGUCUUUUGGGGCGAACGUGAGUAUGGUGAACAAUCAUAGUCAGUGACGGUACCAAAGGAGGAAGCCACGGCUAACUACGUGCCAGCAGCCGCGGUAAUACGUAGGUGGCAAGCGUUGUCCGGAAUUAUUGGGCGUAAAGAGCGCGUAGGCGGGAUAGUCAGUCUGUUGUAAAGUGCGGGGCUCAACCCCGUGAUCGCAAUGGAAACAGCUAUUCUUGAGUGCAGGAGAGGAAAGUGGAAUUCCCAGUGUAGCGGUGAAAUGCGUAGAUAUUGGGAGGAACACCAGUGGCGAAGGCGACUUUCUGGACUGUGUCUGACGCUGAGGCGCGAAAGCCAGGGGAGCGAACGGGAUUAGAUACCCCGGUAGUCCUGGCCGUAAACGAUGGGUACUAGGUGUGGGAGGUAUCGACCCCUUUCCGUGCCGGAGUUAACGCAAUAAGUACCCCGCCUGGGGAGUACGGUCGCAAGACUGAAACUCAAAUGAAUUGACGGGGUCAUAGCUGUUUCCUG